This 292-nucleotide ribosomal RNA is filed under the name uncultured bacterium. RNAcentral's name for it is "partial 16S ribosomal RNA". It matches the Rfam family "Bacterial small subunit ribosomal RNA", at positions 505 to 796 of the family's 1533-position model. The record is from RNAcentral.
GUGUCAGCAGCCGCGGUAAUACGUAGGUGGCAAGCGUUGUCCGGAUUUAUUGGGUUUAAAGGGUGCGUAGGCGGUUCUAUAAGUCAGUGGUGAAAUACGGCAGCUCAACUGUCGAGGUGCCAUUGAUACUGUGGAACUUGAGUACAGACGAGGUAGGCGGAAUUGACGGUGUAGCGGUGAAAUGCUUAGAUAUCGUCAAGAACACCGAUAGCGAAGGCAGCUUACUAGACUGUAACUGACGCUGAGGCACGAAAGUGUGGGGAUCAAACAGGAUUAGAUACCCUGGUAGUCC